GCUUACGGCCAUACCAGCCUGGGUACGCCCGAUCUCGUCUGAUCUCGGAAGCUAAGCAGGGUCGGGCCUGGUUAGUACUUGGCUGGGAGACCGCCUGGGAAUACCAGGUGCUGUAAGCA
Molecule: ribosomal RNA, 119 nt
Filed under: Salmo salar (Atlantic salmon)
Lineage: Eukaryota; Metazoa; Chordata; Actinopteri; Salmoniformes; Salmonidae
Source: RNAcentral